This 588-nucleotide long non-coding RNA is filed under the name Mus musculus (house mouse). RNAcentral describes it as "predicted gene, 48512". Lineage: Eukaryota; Metazoa; Chordata; Mammalia; Rodentia; Muridae. The record is from RNAcentral.
UUAACUUUUUAAAAUAGAAAUUUACUUAUCACUUGCAAUACCUGGAGACAUUUGGGGUGGUCACAAAGGAAGGUGAGGAAGGACCAAGCCACACAAGUGGUAAAGAAUGGAUUGAUUUUUCAACAAAAUAGUGCCCCCUCCCCCAAGAUGUAACUAAGAAGUAAGAGUAAAAGGUAAAUCUGGCAAAAAUUGGGCCUGGGUUUGUUUCUUGUCUUAGCUGGAGGCACAAAGCAAAGGAUUUUGUUAUCUGCAUUCAGUAAGGGGAGAAGGGCUCUGGUUCUCUCCGCUGUGGACCGAGACCUGACAGCUUCAGGGAACAGUGAUGAGAACAUGAAGGAGCCACAUCUCACUGGAGAGGUGGCCUGAUGGUUUGUUCUCCAAAGGAGCUUCUUGGAGAAGAGAGGGCACUGAAGAAAGAUUGCCCCUGACGGCAGGCCACUGGUUCUCCACACUGCUCCAUUUCCUGCAGGUAAUUCUCCAUGUUCUUCUCCAAAGCUGCCUCCAAGAUGGGCUGGGGUGGGUGGUGAUUGUUGUUGUUAUCAUCUUCCUCUUCGGCCACCCAGGCCUCAAUCACGGACCCCUCUGGAU